AUUAUCAAAAAGAGCAUCCUGAAUGAACCUGAUCGCGUCUGAUCUCAGAAGCUAAGCAGGGUCAGGCGUGGUUAGUACUUGGAUGGGAGACCACCUAGGAAUACCAGGUGCUGUAGGUGUUU
RNAcentral lists this ribosomal RNA (122 nucleotides) under Pteropus vampyrus (large flying fox). Lineage: Eukaryota; Metazoa; Chordata; Mammalia; Chiroptera; Pteropodidae. The record is from RNAcentral.